AGAGUUUGAUCCUGGCUCAGGACGAACGCUGGCGGCGUGCUUAACACAUGCAAGUGGAGCGACGAACCAGGGCUUGCCCUGGGGCAGAGCCGCGAACGGGUGAGUAACACGUGGGCUACCUGCCCCGAUGACCGGGACAACCCGAGGAAACUCGGGCUAAUACCGGAUGUGGUCUUCGGACGAAAGGAAGCUUCGGCCUCCGCAUCGGGAUGGGCCCGCGGCGCAUUAGCUUGUUGGUGGGGUAACGGCCUACCAAGGCUUCGAUGCGUAGCUGGUCUGAGAGGACGAUCAGCCACGCUGGGACUGAGACACGGCCCAGACUCCUACGGGAGGCAGCAGUGGGGAAUCUUGCGCAAUGCGCGAAAGCGUGACGCAGCAACGCCGCGUGGGGGAAGACGGCCUUCGGGUUGUAAACCUCUUUCAGUUGGGACGAGGGCCAUCCGGUUAAUAGCCGGCUUGGUUGACGGUACCUUCAGAAGAAGCCCCGGCUAACUACGUGCCAGCAGCCGCGGUAAUACGUAGGGGGCAAGCGUUGUCCGGAAUCAUUGGGCGUAAAGAGCGUGUAGGCGGCCCGAUAAGUUCGCUGUGAAAGUCCAGGGCUCAACCCUGGAAUGCCUGUGGAUACUGUCGGGCUCGAGUCCCGAAAAGGUGAGUGGAAUUCCUGGUGUANCGGUGAAAUCCCCAGAUAUCAGGAGGAACCCCCAUGGCAAAGGCAUCUCAUAUGGGACNGUACUGACGCUGAAACACNACAGCGNUGGGGAACCAACCGG
RNAcentral lists this ribosomal RNA (770 nucleotides) under uncultured bacterium. RNAcentral describes it as "bacterial SSU rRNA". It matches the Rfam family "Bacterial small subunit ribosomal RNA", at positions 8 to 776 of the family's 1533-position model. The record is from RNAcentral.